UACGGAGGGAGCUAGCGUUUGUUCGGAAUUACUGGGCGUAAAGCGCGUGUAGGCGGCUUUGCAAGUCGGGUGUGAAAGCCCUCAGCUCAACUGAGGAAGUGCGCCCGAAACUGCAGAGCUUGAGUGCCGGAGAGGGUGGCGGAAUUCCCCAAAGUAGAGGUGAAAAUUCGGUAGAUAUGGGGGAGGAACACCGGGUGGGCGAA
RNAcentral lists this ribosomal RNA (203 nucleotides) under uncultured bacterium. Its description in RNAcentral is "partial 16S ribosomal RNA". It matches the Rfam family "Bacterial small subunit ribosomal RNA", at positions 524 to 719 of the family's 1533-position model. The record is from RNAcentral.